RNAcentral lists this ribosomal RNA (339 nucleotides) under Pallaseopsis kessleri. RNAcentral describes it as "partial 16S ribosomal RNA". It matches the Rfam family "Bacterial large subunit ribosomal RNA", at positions 1948 to 2539 of the family's 2925-position model. Lineage: Eukaryota; Metazoa; Arthropoda; Malacostraca; Amphipoda; Pallaseidae. The record is from RNAcentral.
GUGCUAAGGUAGCAUAAUCAUUUGCUUCUUAAUUGGUAGCUGGAAUGAACGGUUAAACUGUCUUAGUACGUGUGUUAGCUUAAAUAGAAAAUUAAAGUCAAGGUAAUAAUUCUUUGAUGCUCUAGGGGACGAUAAGACCCUAUAAGCUUAACAAGCUUAAAGUAAAUUUUGUGGUAUAGGUUAUUUUGUUUUAUUGGGGCGAUAUUGGUGAGUUAGCCGCCACACUAGUUAAGAUCCCUAACAUUUGGAUAGAGCGUAAAAGUUACUUUAGGGGUAACAGUGUUAUAUACUUGGAGAGACCUUAUCGAUAAGUGUGCUUGCUACCUCGAUGUUGAAUUA